AGACGAGUAAAACAUGAGUUUAGAAUUUACUGCCUAACCUUGUCUUCAAAUACAUAAUUAGAGCUCCUUAUCACUUCGAAAACAAAAGCAAAAGGCUUUCUAGGUAGACCUAAUAUACUUUUUAAAAGAACAAAAAUAUAUUUAAAUCUUCAACAAUUCAUAUCUUCUAAAUAUUAACUGUAGUAGCUAGGCUAUAGCAUGAAAUAUUAAACACUUGAGUAGGGUUUAUAUUGUG
RNAcentral lists this long non-coding RNA (235 nucleotides) under Olea europaea (common olive). RNAcentral's name for it is "long non-coding RNA (OEUR_LNC015684)". The record is from RNAcentral. Lineage: Eukaryota; Viridiplantae; Streptophyta; Magnoliopsida; Lamiales; Oleaceae.